Long non-coding RNA from Fundulus heteroclitus (mummichog), 273 nucleotides. RefSeq lists it as uncharacterized. The transcript has 3 exons. The record is from RefSeq and is a predicted model, not a curated record. Lineage: Eukaryota; Metazoa; Chordata; Actinopteri; Cyprinodontiformes; Fundulidae.
UCAGGGAGGGGAGCCAGCUCAUCCUCACUCUGUUGAUCAUCUGCUUUCAUCAAUAGCCAGGAGAAGAAAAGGGAAAUUAGACCAUGUCAGUUCCAGCUGUGCAGAUACUCCAGCUUUUGUCAAAAACUUUCAUGUCCUUUUGCUUGCCAUCUCGCUCAGUUGUCAACAUGAGGAGAAAAAGAUGGCUGAACUGUGCAGAGAACUGACCAUGUAAACAGCUCGGGCCAGGGCCAGCCUGGCCUUCUGUCCUCCACUCAGAGUCACUCCGUUCUC